CRCUGAUGGAUGGACCCGCGGUGCAUUAKCUAGUUGGUGAGGUAACGGCUCACCAAGGCCACGAUGCAUAGCCGACCUGAGAGGGUGAUCGGCCACACUGGGACUGAGACACGGCCCAGACUCCUACGGGAGGCAGCAGUAGGGAAUCUUCGGCAAUGGACGAAAGUCUGACCGAGCAACGCCGCGUGAGUGAAGAAGGUUUUCGGAUCGUAAAACUCUGUUGUUAGAGAAGAACAAGGACGUUAGUAACUGAACGUCCCCUGACGGUAUCUAACCAGAAAGCCACGGCUAACUACGUGCCAGCAGCCGCGGUAAUACGUAGGUGGCAAGCGUUGUCCGGAUUUAUUGGGCGUAAAGCGAGCGCAGGCGGUUUCUUAAGUCUGAUGUGAAAGCCCCCGGCUCAACCGGGGAGGGUCAUUGGWAACUGGGASACUUGAGUGCAGAAGAGGASAGUGSAAUUCCAUGUGUAGCG
This 472-nucleotide ribosomal RNA is filed under the name Enterococcus faecalis. RNAcentral's name for it is "bacterial SSU rRNA". It matches the Rfam family "Bacterial small subunit ribosomal RNA", at positions 216 to 680 of the family's 1533-position model. The record is from RNAcentral. Lineage: Bacteria; Bacillati; Bacillota; Bacilli; Lactobacillales; Enterococcaceae.